GUGAGGAAUAUUGGUCAAUGGGCGAGAGCCUGAACCAGCCAAGUCGCGUGAAGGAAGAAGGAUCUAUGGUUCGUAAACUUCUUUUGCAGGGGAAUAAAGUGCAGGACGUGUCCUGUUUUGUAUGUACCCUGAGAAUAAGGAUCGGCUAACUCCGUGCCAGCAGCCGCGGUAAUACGGAGGAUCCGAGCGUUAUCCGGAUUUAUUGGGUUUAAAGGGUGCGUAGGUGGUUUGAUAAGUCAGCGGUGAAAGUUUGCAGCUUAACUGUAAAAAUGCAGUUGAAACUGUCGGACUUGAGUGUAAAUGAGGUAGGCGGAAUGCGUGGUGUAGCGGUGAAAUGCAUAGAUAUCACGCAGAACUCCGAUUGCGAAGGCAGCUUACUAAGCUACAACUGACACUGAAGCACGAAAGCGUGGGGAUCAAACAGGAUUAGAAACCCCUGUAGUCC
Molecule: ribosomal RNA, 445 nt
Filed under: uncultured bacterium
Lineage: Bacteria
Description: partial 16S ribosomal RNA
Rfam family: Bacterial small subunit ribosomal RNA
Source: RNAcentral